UGCAGGAGGCAGAGGGGGAGGAAGACGAUCGAGAGGGCUGAAGAGGAGGAAGACAAACGAGUAGGAAAGGAAGAAGCCGCUGGAGUGGUGAAUGGAAGACUAAGAAGAAAGAAAGCAUUAGAGGAUAUGUUGAGCCUUUGAUGUUAAAUUCGGCAAGUAUAUCGUAACGUCGUCUGCUGCUGAGAGGUAGGUGGCCAGCUUGACGGACAUGGGCCAUCCAAUUCCUACUCUGACUGGGGAGAAGCACAUAGGAAAGGAUAUGCCCACCACCUCAAAUUAAACAUGUUAAAUUUGUCUUGCCCGGAAAGAGAGAAAUAAAGACUCCAGUGACCAGUUCUACACUCAGUUGACUGAGAGAUUGGUGUGCCAGUUACAGAUGCAGUUGGUUUGCACAAUGCCAGUAUCCUUCCAUCCAUCUGACCCCAUGUUACUGAUGAAAGGGAUGUACAAAUGCAGGACACAGGGAGGACCCAUGACUUGGGAAUACAACCAAGUGAUGUCUGAUGAACCUUAAAAAUGGUGUGUGGAAUCUAAGG
This is a long non-coding RNA of Eriocheir sinensis (Chinese mitten crab), 536 nucleotides long. RefSeq lists it as uncharacterized. Lineage: Eukaryota; Metazoa; Arthropoda; Malacostraca; Decapoda; Varunidae. The transcript has 3 exons. The record is from RefSeq and is a predicted model, not a curated record.